Non-coding RNA from Triticum aestivum (bread wheat), 135 nucleotides. NCBI's taxonomy places the organism in Eukaryota, Viridiplantae, Streptophyta, Magnoliopsida, Poales, Poaceae. The record is from Rfam.
AAAUUACUCCCUCCGUUCCAAAAUUCUUGUCUUAGAUUUGUCUAGAUACGGAUGCAUCUAAUACUAUAAUGUGACUUGAUACAUCCGUAUUUCGAUAAACCUAAGACAAGAAUUUUGGGACGGAGGGAGUACAUU